AUGGCAGGGAGGAGAGUAAUUGUACAGUCUGGAAACAUUGCCAGACUGUGGGUUGAUCCCAUUGGGGACAAUAUCCCUCUGGCUGAGCAGUUUCCUCGUCUUUUCUCUAUUUGCAACUAUCCUGAGUGCACUAUUGAUAAAUGCUUAAAUGUUGAUCCCUCCUCAUUCUUUAGGAGGAGGUUGAAUAGUGAGCUUAAUGACCAGUGGGUUGUUGUGAGUAAAUUGGCUAGAGAAGCAUGUGUUUUAGACACUGCUGAUGUGAUCAAAUGGGGCUUGGGUGGGAAAACCUUUUUUACCACCAAAUCUGUUUAUUCGUUCUUGGAAAAGAAUAUUGCAGGGUGCGAUUAUAGAUGGAUCUGGGGUGCCAGAAUCCCUCUCAAAAUUCAAAUAUUCCCGUGGCAACUUUUUCAGGAUGCUGUCCUGACUAGGGAUGUGAUGAAACACCGAGGUUGGAAAGGGAACCCAAAAUGUUCUUUUUGUGGAAGGAGAGAGACCGCACAUCACCUGUUCUUUGCUUGCCCUGUUGCCAGGGUAACCUGGAGGACAGUGGCAUUUAUGUUUGGCACUGCUUUGUGCCCUGAUAACAUCUGGCAAGCUUAUUCGUGGUGUUAUACAUUCUUCCCUGGAGGGGAAAAGUUUUAUACGACAGGGAUUGCUGCUAUGUGCUGGGCGAUCUAG
RNAcentral lists this ribosomal RNA (678 nucleotides) under Triticum aestivum (bread wheat). Its description in RNAcentral is "partial small subunit ribosomal RNA". The record is from RNAcentral. Lineage: Eukaryota; Viridiplantae; Streptophyta; Magnoliopsida; Poales; Poaceae.